Molecule: long non-coding RNA, 643 nt
Organism: Ixodes scapularis (black-legged tick)
Lineage: Eukaryota; Metazoa; Arthropoda; Arachnida; Ixodida; Ixodidae
Exons: 3
Source: RefSeq, a predicted model, not a curated record
UGUUUUUGAGAGAGCUGUGGUCCGAACUAGGAAUAGAAAGCGAAGUUGAGGAACAAUGGAGCUUGUGGGAGUCGCAGAAAAAGGUUGGAUUGGGUGUUCCAGCUCAUACUGUCCGCGCGCGGGGAGGGCGUACAAUGCGCGGCACUGUUAGCGCGAACAGAGCAUCGGUGUCUCUACGUAUUUUACUUCCAUGGUGUGUUGAUUUGCACCAAAUUUUACCGCUUAGGUUAGCGUCCCAAAUUAGCCCUUCCCACCGCACUAGCAGUUUUGAUGACGAAUUUUUGAUUCCGAUAGAGAAAAAAGCGGCGAUCGCUCUUCUGUACUAACAGUGUGACGCUCUCUACCUCCAAACAAAGUCGAAUUCUUUAGUGUUCUCAGUGCAAUGUCCCGUGAAUUACAAGUUAGCCCUGUUCAUUCUCGACAGGACCAUUUUACACCAGAUCAGUUUGAACCUCGGAUCUGGCAGAGCCAUGGCAUCAAAAAACUUAAACCAGACGCUGUCAAAGCCAGUUCGAAGACCACCGCGAGAAAGGGAAAUGGGAAACAUCCAAGGGGAGCCAAUGCAGGGGGAAGACAGCAUCCAGACGCUUCCAUCUCUGGAUUCAACUGCUGCUCUCGCAGCACAAGCCUUGCCCACGCACAC